AAGAUUUUAAGUUAUUUAAACUAGAAGCCUUCAAAGCUUCCAUAAAAAGUUCUAUUCUUUUAAAUCUUA
This 69-nucleotide transfer RNA is filed under the name Ranina ranina. RNAcentral's name for it is "tRNA-Trp". The record is from RNAcentral. Lineage: Eukaryota; Metazoa; Arthropoda; Malacostraca; Decapoda; Raninidae.